AGAGUUUGAUCCUGGCUCAGGACGAACGCUGGCGGCGCGCCUAACACAUGCAAGUCGAACGAGCGAGAGAGAGCUUGCUUUCUCAAGCGAGUGGCGAACGGGUGAGUAACGCGUGAGGAACCUGCCUCAAAGAGGGGGACAACAGUUGGAAACGACUGCUAAUACCGCAUAAGCCCACGGGUCGGCAUCGACCAGAGGGAAAAGGAGCAAUCCGCUUUGAGAUGGCCUCGCGUCCGAUUAGCUAGUUGGUGAGGUAAUGGCCCACCAAGGCGACGAUCGGUAGCCGGACUGAGAGGUUGAACGGCCACAUUGGGACUGAGACACGGCCCAGACUCCUACGGGAGGCAGCAGUGGGGAACAUUGCACAAUGGGGGAAACCCUGAUGCAGCGACGCCGCGUGGAGGAAGAAGGUCUUCGGAUUGUAAACUCCUGUUGUUGAGGAAGAUAAUGACGGUACUCAACAAGGAAGUGAAGGCUAACUACGUGCCAGCAGCCGCGGUAAAACGUAGGUCACAAGCGUUGUCCGGAAUUACUGGGUGUAAAGGGAGCGCAGGCGGGAAGACAAGUUGGAAGUGAAAUCUAUGGGCUCAACCCAUAAACUGCUUUCAAAACUGUUUUUCUUGAGUAGUGCAGAGGUAGGCGGAAUUCCCGGUGUAGCGGUGGAAUGCGUAGAUAUCGGGAGGAACACCAGUGGCGAAGGCGGCCUACUGGGCACCAACUGACGCUGAGGCUCGAAAGUGUGGGUAGCANACAGGAUUAGAUACNCUGGUAGUCCACACCGUAAACGAUGAUUACUAGGUGUUGGAGGGUUGACCCCUUCAGUGCCGCAGUUAACACAAUAAGUAAUCCACCUGGGGAGUACGACCGCAAGGUUGAAACUCAAAGGAAUUGACGGGGGCCCGCACAAGCAGUGGAGUAUGUGGUUUAAUUCGACGCAACGCGAAGAACCUUACCAAGUCUUGACAUCCUCUGACGAACGUAGAAAUACGUUUUCUCUUCGGAGCAGAGAGACAGGUGGUGCAUGGUUGUCGUCAGCUCGUGUCGUGAGAUGUUGGGUUAAGUCCCGCAACGAGCGCAACCCUUAUGGUCAGUUACUACGCAAGAGGACUCUGGCCAGACUGCCGUUGACAAAACGGAGGAAGGUGGGGAUGACGUCAAAUCAUCAUGCCCUUUAUGACUUGGGCUACACACGUACUACAAUGGCGUUAAACGAAGAGAAGCAAGACCGCGAGGUGGAGCAAAACUCAGAAACAACGUCCCAGUUCGGACUGCAGGCUGCAACUCGCCUGCACGAAGUCGGAAUUGCUAGUAAUCGCAGAUCAGCAUGCUGCGGUGAAUACGUUCNCCGGGCCCUUGUACACACCGCCCGU
Molecule: ribosomal RNA, 1370 nt
Filed under: uncultured bacterium
Lineage: Bacteria
Description: 16S ribosomal RNA
Rfam family: Bacterial small subunit ribosomal RNA
Source: RNAcentral